RNAcentral lists this ribosomal RNA (1014 nucleotides) under Moechotypa diphysis. RNAcentral's name for it is "SSU rRNA". It matches the Rfam family "Eukaryotic small subunit ribosomal RNA", at positions 44 to 998 of the family's 1831-position model. The record is from RNAcentral. Lineage: Eukaryota; Metazoa; Arthropoda; Insecta; Coleoptera; Cerambycidae.
AUUAGCCAUGCAUGUCUCAGUACAAGCCGAAUUAAGGUGAAACCGCGAAAGGCUCAUUAAAUCAGUUAUGGUUCCUUAGAUCGUACCCACAUUUACUUGGAUAACUGUGGUAAUUCUAGAGCUAAUACAUGCAAACAGAGCUCCGACCGGAGACGGAAGGAGUGCUUUUAUUAGAUCAAAACCAAUCGGUGGCGGGUUCGCGCUCGUCAUCGUACAAUUUGGUGACUCUGAAUAACUUUUCGCUGAUCGCACGGUCUCGCACCGGCGACGCAUCUUUCAAAUGUCUGCCUUAUCAACUGUCGAUGGUAGGUUCUGCGCCUACCAUGGUUGUAACGGGUAACGGGGAAUCAGGGUUCGAUUCCGGAGAGGGAGCCUGAGAAACGGCUACCACAUCCAAGGAAGGCAGCAGGCGCGCAAAUUACCCACUCCCGGCACGGGGAGGUAGUGACGAAAAAUAACGAUACGGGACUCAUCCGAGGCCCCGUAAUCGGAAUGAGUACACUCUAAACCCUUUAACGAGGAUCAAUUGGAGGGCAAGUCUGGUGCCAGCAGCCGCGGUAAUUCCAGCUCCAAUAGCGUAUAUUAAAGUUGUUGCGGUUAAAAAGCUCGUAGUCGAAUCUGUGUCCCGCGUCGCCGGUUCAUCGUCCGCGGUGUUAACUGGCGUUCCGCGGGACGUCCUGCCGGUGGGCUUAGCUCGCAAGGGCGGCCCAACUCAAUCCCGCCGCGGUGCUCUUCAUUGAGUGUCGAGGUGGGCCGGCACGUUUACUUUGAACAAAUUAGAGUGCUUAAAGCAGGCUAAAACUUCGCCUGAAUACUGUGUGCAUGGAAUAAUGGAAUAGGACCUCGGUUCUAUUUUGUUGGUUUUCGGAACCCCGAGGUAAUGAUUAAUAGGAACGGAUGGGGGCAUUCGUAUUGCGACGUUAGAGGUGAAAUUCUUGGAUCGUCGCAAGACGGACAGAAGCGAAAGCAUUUGCCAAAAACGCUUUCAUUGAUCAAGAACGAAAGUUAGAGGUU